CCAGACUCCUACGGGAGGCAGCAGUGGGGAAUAUUGCACAAUGGGGGGAACCCUGAUGCAGCGACGCCGCGUGGGUGAAGGAGCACCUCGGUGCGUAAAGCCCUAUCGGCAGGGAAGAAACAGACGGUACCUGACUAAGAAGCCCCGGCUAACUACGUGCCAGCAGCCGCGGGAAUACGUAGGGAGCGAGCGUUAUCCGGAAUUAUUGGGUGUAAAGGGUGCGUAGACGGGAAAACAAGUUAGUUGUGAAAUCCCUCGGCUUAACUGAGGAACUGCAACUAAAACUAUUUUUCUUGAGUGCAGGAGAGGUAAGUGGAAUUCCUAGUGUAGCGGUGAAAUGCGUAGAUAUUAGGAGGAACACCAGUGGCGAAGGCGACUUACUGGACUGUAACUGACGUUGAGGCACGAAAGUGUGGUGAGCAAACAGGAUUAGAUACCCGCGUAC
Molecule: ribosomal RNA, 445 nt
Filed under: uncultured bacterium
Lineage: Bacteria
Description: partial 16S ribosomal RNA
Rfam family: Bacterial small subunit ribosomal RNA
Source: RNAcentral